GUGCUCACUUUGGCAGCACAUACACUAAAAUUGGGACAAGACAGAGAAGAUCAUCACGGCCCCUGCACAAGGAUGACAUGCAAAUUCAUAAGUGUUCCACAUUUUU
This is a small nuclear RNA of Trichechus manatus latirostris (Florida manatee), 106 nucleotides long. The record is from RefSeq and is a predicted model, not a curated record. Lineage: Eukaryota; Metazoa; Chordata; Mammalia; Sirenia; Trichechidae.